AGGAAAGAGGGAGGAGUGACUAAUACCUGCAAGUCGCGCGAACAGACGAGGAGCUUGCUCCUCUGACGUUAGCGGCGGACGGGUGAGUAACACGUGGAUAACCUACCUAUAAGACUGGGAUAACUUCGGGAAACCGGAGCUAAUACCGGAUAAUAUAUUGAACCGCAUGGUUCAAUAGUGAAAGACGGUUUUGCUGUCACUUAUAGAUGGAUCCGCGCCGCAUUAGCUAGUUGGUAAGGUAACGGCUUACCAAGGCAACGAUGCGUAGCCGACCUGAGAGGGUGAUCGGCCACACUGGAACUGAGACACGGUCCAGACUCCUACGGGAGGCAGCAGUAGGGAAUCUUCCGCAAUGGGCGAAAGCCUGACGGAGCAACGCCGCGUGAGUGAUGAAGGUCUUCGGAUCGUAAAACUCUGUUAUUAGGGAAGAACAAAUGUGUAAGUAACUAUGCACGUCUUGACGGUACCUAAUCAGAAAGCCACGGCUAACUACGUG
Molecule: ribosomal RNA, 496 nt
Filed under: uncultured bacterium
Lineage: Bacteria
Description: partial 16S ribosomal RNA
Rfam family: Bacterial small subunit ribosomal RNA
Source: RNAcentral